Cottoperca gobio is the source of this 640-nucleotide long non-coding RNA. RefSeq lists it as uncharacterized. The record is from RefSeq and is a predicted model, not a curated record. Lineage: Eukaryota; Metazoa; Chordata; Actinopteri; Perciformes; Bovichtidae. The transcript is spliced from 2 exons.
AUGUUGCCAGAUGAGCCUUUUAUGCUCACUUUGAUCUCCUCAACCAAGAGUCAGAUGUCAAGUCUGCCCCACCUCCAGAGGACCGGCCACUGUCACUAUCAACAGCGGAUGGAAGAAAAAACCCUGAUGAGUUUUCAACCUAUUGGAACUCAAAUGAAUUGACAAAUUCAAGAUACCAGUUGAGUUGUCCAGGCGUCCUCUGUAUUCCUCUAAGCCUUUCAAGUUUGGGCAGACAUUGAAUAAAAAACCACAGUAACUUGACCGUGUCAUUCUGAUGAAGUGCUAUGAGAAACUGGUUCUCCAGCACAUGAAACACAACCUCCCAGCCAGCAUGGACCAUCACCAGUUGCACAUAGAGCCAACAGAUUCACAGAGGAUACCACUUCCCUCCACUCAGCCCUCACCCUCUGGAAAAUAACAACACCUACAUCAGAAUGCUGCUUGUUGGUUUCAGCUCAGCAUUCAAUACAAGCCUGUUGUAUGUGUAAAAUAACGUUUGUAUGAAGUUACAGGUAGCUAGGGCAGUGGCGGUGCACUGUAAAGUGCCUUUAUGGAAGGUUUAAGGGAGUUGUUGUGGGAUAUUCUUCUGUAUUAUAAUAAAAUUCUCGGUGAGAUGUUCAAUAAAGUUACGGAAAACCAG